AAGUGAUAGACAAAUAAUUGACCAAAUUUCAAGAUCUCAAUCAAAUUGUCUUUAUAUUGACAUUGACAUCUUUUGAUUCAUACAGAAAACUAAAAAGAUGAUCUUUUCCUUCCUACUUUAUGAGUCACGUGUUUUAUUAUGGAAGUGGAUAUGAAUACUGGAAUAACCAUGGUUAUUUCCAUGCCUUAAGCUCUUUGCUUUGGGUUUCACACACCUGACAGAGGAAAUGAGAGUGGACAAUUCAAGCAGGUGGCUCAUGCUAACCAUUAAUUUUUCCAGACUAAGAAAUGGGAGGGUCCUGGGCUCUUAAAAAGCAACAUAGCCCUUAGUUUAGAACAUUCAUGAGAAGUAGGAGAGAAGGAAAAAGAUGAAGAUGGUGUAUUUUAGAGAAAAAGCUGUACUUGGUAAAGAGCAAAACCAACGAACCAACCAGAAAGAUUAAUAUUAUGGGGCAGAAGUCCAGCUUAACAGGAGCUAUAUGUAGUCUGAAUUUUGUCUUCGUAGAAGAUAACACUUCAAUUCAUCAGACUAGCUUGUUUGUGCUGUCUCCCUGAAUUCUUUUGUAUGGCGUCAGUUCUUGAAAAUGUUCUUCAGUCAUCUCUAACAGGAUUAUAGGAUUAUGAAGAUGAUCAUUCUCAGACACAGCCUUCAUUCAGGAGAGCUGACCCUUUGACUAAAGUGCAGCUUGCUAAAAAGGAUAGCACUUUGGUCAAGAUGCAUGUGCAUGUUUUCCACCAAGUCAUAAUUGACA
Molecule: long non-coding RNA, 751 nt
Filed under: Anas platyrhynchos platyrhynchos (common mallard)
Lineage: Eukaryota; Metazoa; Chordata; Aves; Anseriformes; Anatidae
Description: lncRNA (ENSAPLG00000024482.1)
Source: RNAcentral